CUUUUUUAAUUUAUUCAGUACUGAGCCACAGUUUUUGUUUGAUUUUGGAGUCUUGACUGGUGUUAGAGAGUAGGUCCUCAUUUUAAAACCUUGAAAUCCUUUGCACAGACAGCUGUUUUAGCUAAUCUAAAUUGAUAGACAAAUGUAAAUUCCUCGUGGGAUCUUGGCAGAGCCUUGACAGGAGUAACUGGAUAAUCAGAUUGCAUGUAGAGAGAACUCUCAGCGCAAGUCUUCACACCAAACUGUUUGCUGUUCCAAGGUCUACCAAGGUGUAUACCCGAUACAAAUGCUACAUUGGUAUUUUGAAGCCAUAUACGCUUCACUGAUGACAUUUCUGAAUUCAUCCGCAUAUACACAAUAUGUUUGAAGAGAAAAGAAGAUUCUUCUUUUGAAAAAAUACAAGUUCUCUGGUUUUGCCACCAGCCAGUCAUGGACAAUAGCAUCUUUGGAGAUGAUGCAGCCAUAAUAAGUAAUUCUAGCAGAAGAAUCUACUCUAUACUUGUGGAAAGGGGUUGUGGUUCACAGGCCAAUUUCGUUUGAGUAGAAGGUUCAUUUAAAAAAAAAAAAAAAAAAAAAAAAAGGAAAAGAAAAGUACGUUUAGCUUUAGAGAGAAGUUGAAUACGAUGAUUCACUGAUCAUAGUGAGUACUGUUGAGUAAUAACAAGAAGAGAACCCUUGAAAGGUGCCUAUGGACUGAGAAGGAGCAGGAGCAGGAAGCAGGAUCAAGGCUUGGACUUUGGCUUCUUGUGCUGUUCUGUCAAUGAGGAGGCAAGAGUUGUAAAAGAAGCUGUGAAUGGACAGAACAAAGACAACUGACCAAACAGGCCAGAGGGAUGUUCCAUACCAUAUGAUGUCAUGCUCAGCCAUAAAACUAGGUGGAGUUUUCUUGAGGAGCUGCUACUGUUCGUGGACUGGCAUCAGCGAGCAGCUACAGCUGAUUGAACUACUCCAAGAGGAGCCACUCCCAGCUCUUUGUCUGGGUGCAGACUGCUGUGGUCUGUGAACACAAGUGCCAUGGGAUCUUCCCAGGUUUUUCUGGAAGCCUACAGAUUCUGAAUGGAUAAGUUCUGGGCCAGACAACAUUUUGGAAGUGAACUUCCUUUGGUGACCUUUCUUUAAAGUUGCAUGCUCUACCUUCACAUGACCAAAUGUGCAACCAUCAUAUAAUUAAAAGAUGACAACCAUGGAGUCUGAGAAUGCAAGAACAUGUCUUCUACUGCCAAGGACCAGCUGACACCCACAGAGGCACAGAAUGGGAAAUGCUGUGUGCACCAAAAGGGAGGAAGUUUAUAAAAAGAUUUUUGUUUUCAUUCAUACUGUGACCAAAGUAACGUCCCAGUUUAAACAUUAAACUCAAGAUCAUUAACUUGUCACAGUGAUUUCUGGCUUAAAACUUUAUAGUAAAAUAAGAAGGCAUAAAAAGGCUUAUUAAUUGAUAAGAUAAAGCUUGCUAAAAUGUAAUGCUUUCCAUAUUUUGUAAAGAGAAUGAUUUAAAGUUAUAUUAUUGAAACUACAUGAAUUGUUUAAGCCAGUUACUAACUCACAUGUCAUGCCUGAAAUGUAAAACUCUGACAAAAAUGCUGGGUUUCACUUUUGGAUUCCCAAAAAUGUAAAAUAUCAGGGUUUAAGUCUCUCUUUUGCUAAAAAUAAAGACAAUAUACAAAAAUGUAAUCCAUACUUAGGAAAUGUAAAGAAACACAAGCAAAUAAAUAGUGCUCACUGAGUUAAAGACUGAUGUCAGUAGCAAAUGAUUUCCAUAAGAAAAUUGACUGUCUCACACAUAGCUGUUAACUUUAACGCUGUAAAAUAGAUAGAAUUUGAAAUGAAGUGACAAUACUCAUCUCACAUUUAUUAUGUUGUCUUGGGGUUCUAAAGGUAGAGAAAUUAUUUUAUUACAUUUUCAUUUGAAAUCUGAAUGCAUUAUCAUUCCAGAGCUAGAAAAAUUAAUUUUGUAUUUUGAUCAACAAAUAGUUGCUGUUCCUGUGGAGGCUGACCUCUUCUUCUGAUUGUGGUAUUUUUCUUCCUAGAGUAGUACAGAAAGUUUCAAGCAGCUUCAUUUAUUAACAAUGGUAUAUUUCACCCACAUCAUAUAUGAACUAUCCCAUAUGCAAAAGGAAAUGAUUGACAGCAAAAAGUCAAAAUUUACCACAUCUUGUUUUCUUCAGUUUUAAUAACUCAGCUAACGGCUUUUGGUUUUGAAAACUGAUCUUAUCAGCCACUAUCACCGUCCUCAUACUUACCCUUUAUCUUUCACCAUAUUGAAAGUUUUUCUGAGAAAUAUCUGGUUUUCAAAUGAGUCAUUCCCUUUUGCUACUACUGCCUAUAGGACAGCCAUAUCCCAGAACACUGGACAGUCUGUACCUUAACUGUUUGAAACGGAGCUAAUAACUCUCAGCAUGGCUUUGCCUUGAGUAAAAUAGGUCAUUCUGGAUAUUGCCAAUAAAUGAAAGGAUUAUGACAUUUUUUCCGACUGAUCCAUUCUCUUUCAUACUUGUCAUUCAAAAGUAGACAAUGCAUCUACAG
This is a long non-coding RNA of Gallus gallus (chicken), 2523 nucleotides long. The record is from Ensembl. NCBI's taxonomy places the organism in Eukaryota, Metazoa, Chordata, Aves, Galliformes, Phasianidae.